RNAcentral lists this ribosomal RNA (402 nucleotides) under uncultured bacterium. RNAcentral describes it as "bacterial SSU rRNA". It matches the Rfam family "Bacterial small subunit ribosomal RNA", at positions 355 to 774 of the family's 1533-position model. The record is from RNAcentral.
UGGGGAAUAUUGCAUAAUGGGCGAAAGCCUGAUGCAGCAACGCCGCGUGAGUGAUGAAGGCCUUCGGGUUGUAAAGCUCUGUCUUCUGGGACGAUAAUGACGGUACCAGAGGAGGAAGCCACGGCUAACUACGUGCCAGCAGCCGCGGUAAUACGUAGGUGGCAAGCGUUGUCCGGAUUUACUGGGCGUAAAGGAUGCGUAGGCGGAUACUUAAGUCAGAUGUGAAAAUCCCGGGCUUAACUUGGGAACUGCAUUUGAAACUGGGUAUCUAGAGUGCGGGAGAGGAAAGUGGAAUUCCUAGUGUAGCGGUGAAAUGCGUAGAGAUUAGGAAGAACACCAGUGGCGAAGGCGACUUUCUGGACCGUAACUGACGCUGAGGCAUGAAAGCGUGGGGAGCAAACA